This 608-nucleotide long non-coding RNA is filed under the name Marmota monax (woodchuck). Lineage: Eukaryota; Metazoa; Chordata; Mammalia; Rodentia; Sciuridae. The record is from RNAcentral.
CUAGGACUCCAAUUAUGUCUAAGUUGGUAUGUAUGACAAUGUCCCAUAGGUUUCUGAUGCUCAGAACUUUUCUUCAUUCUUCUUUUCUAUUUCUGGGUCAAUCUCAGCUGACCUAUUUUCAAGUUUGCUGAGUCUUUGUUUUGCUUAAGCAGAUCUGCUCUUGAGUCUAAUAAAUUUACUUUAGUUAUUGCAGCCCCCCCCCCUUUUUAUUAUCUACUGAGAAUUGAACCCAGGGGUGCUUUACUGCUGAGCUACACCCUCAGCCCUUUUAAUUUUUUUUAUUUUGAGAGAGGGUAUCACUAAAUUGCUGAGGCCAGCUUUAAAUUUAUAAUCCUCCCACUUGAGCCUUCUGAGGCAUUGAGAUUACAAGCAUGUGCCACUGCACCCUGCUAGUUAUUGCAAUUUUCAACUCCAGAAUUUCCUUUUGGUUCUUCAUCAUUUCCAUCUCCUUAUUGAUACUCUCUAUUUGUUGAGACAUUAGUCUCUUACUUAAGAACCCUUCAAUCUCAUGCUUCUCUUGAUUUAACAAACAAAUAUGGUAUCCUUUAGCUCUUCAAAUACAUUUAAAAUAGCUGAAAACUACUAAGUUUUUUGAGCACACAAAUCAU